UGAUAUUGAUGAGGACAAUUUCUGAUCAUACCUUUAAAUCUCUCCCAAUCUUGGUAGAGAUUUUCUCUAUCUUUCUGUCUAAAAUGAUCUCAAUCCUCAAUUG
Non-coding RNA from Capsicum annuum, 103 nucleotides. Lineage: Eukaryota; Viridiplantae; Streptophyta; Magnoliopsida; Solanales; Solanaceae. The record is from Rfam.